AAACUUUCAACAACGGAUCUCUUGGUUCUCGCAUCGAUGAAGAACGCAGCGAACUGCGAUAAGUAAUGUGAAUUGCAGAAUUUUGUGAAUCAUCGAAUCUUUGAACGCACAUUGCGCCUUUUGGUAUUCCAAAAGGCAUACCUGUUUGAGAGUCAU
RNAcentral lists this ribosomal RNA (156 nucleotides) under Blastobotrys raffinosifermentans. RNAcentral describes it as "5.8S ribosomal RNA". It matches the Rfam family "5.8S ribosomal RNA". From Rfam's summary of the family: 5.8S ribosomal RNA (5.8S rRNA) is a component of the large subunit of the eukaryotic ribosome. It is transcribed by RNA polymerase I as part of the 45S precursor that also contains 18S and 28S rRNA. Lineage: Eukaryota; Fungi; Ascomycota; Dipodascomycetes; Dipodascales; Trichomonascaceae. The record is from RNAcentral.